GUGAGGAAUAUUGGUCAAUGGGCGAAAGCCUGAACCAGCCAUGUCGCGUGAAGGAUGAAGGUCCUAUGGAUUGUAAACUUCUUUUGCAGGAGGGUAAAGUGAGCUACGUGUAGUUCAUUGCACGUACCCUGCGAAUAAGCAUCGGCUAACUCCGUGCCAGCAGCCGCGGUAAUACGGAGGAUGCGAGCGUUAUCCGGAUUUAUUGGGUUUAAAGGGUGCGUAGGCGGACUAAUUAGUCAGCGGUGAAAUUUUGCGGCUAAACCGUAAAACUGCCGUUGAAACUGUUAGUCUUGAGUGCGGUAGAGGUAGGCGGAAUGUGUGGUGUAGCGGUGAAAUGCUUAGAUAUCACGCAGAACACCGAUUGCGUAGGCAGCUUACUGGAGCGCAACUGACGCUGAGGCACGAAAGCGUGGGGAUCGAACAGGAUUAGAUACCCGUGUAGUCC
RNAcentral lists this ribosomal RNA (445 nucleotides) under uncultured bacterium. Its description in RNAcentral is "partial 16S ribosomal RNA". It matches the Rfam family "Bacterial small subunit ribosomal RNA", at positions 354 to 796 of the family's 1533-position model. The record is from RNAcentral.